RNAcentral lists this long non-coding RNA (243 nucleotides) under Prunus persica (peach). Its description in RNAcentral is "long non-coding RNA (PPER_LNC001622)". Lineage: Eukaryota; Viridiplantae; Streptophyta; Magnoliopsida; Rosales; Rosaceae. The record is from RNAcentral.
GGAGACUGCCAAAAUUUUGGUAGAAAGUCUCGAUUUCUUAGUAGGUGGGCCCGACAUCGGGAUGAUGUCGGAAUAAAGACGGGGUCCGCUUCGGUCUUCGGUAAAUUCCAGGGCGGGUCCUGUCAUUUUAUCUCAAAACUAUAACCAAACUAAUUAGAAUAUAACGGUUUGGUUUGUUUCAAUUUUGACGAAAGUCAUGAAGAAAAUCAAACCAAAGCAAAUCAAUUUAAGACGGUUUGUUCG